UACGAAGGGGGGCUAGCGUUGUUCGGAAUUACUGGGCGUAAAGCGCGCGCAGGCGGUCUUCCAAGUCAGUGGUGAAAGCCCGGAGCUCAACUCCGGAACUGCCAUUGAAACUGUAAGACUUGAGGACGAGAGAGGUGAGUGGAAUUCCCAGUGUAGAGGUGAAAUUCGUAGAUAUUGGGAAGAACACCAGUGGCGAAGGCGGCUCACUGGCUCGUAUCUGACGCUCAGGCGCGACAGCGUGGGGGAGCAAACAGG
This 255-nucleotide ribosomal RNA is filed under the name uncultured bacterium. RNAcentral describes it as "partial 16S ribosomal RNA". It matches the Rfam family "Bacterial small subunit ribosomal RNA", at positions 524 to 776 of the family's 1533-position model. The record is from RNAcentral.